This 253-nucleotide ribosomal RNA is filed under the name uncultured bacterium. RNAcentral describes it as "partial 16S ribosomal RNA". It matches the Rfam family "Bacterial small subunit ribosomal RNA", at positions 524 to 776 of the family's 1533-position model. The record is from RNAcentral.
UACGGGGGGGGUAAGCGUUGUUCGGAAUUACUGGGCGUAAAGGGCUCGUAGGCGGCCAACUAAGUCAGACGUGAAAUCCCUCAGCUUAACUGGGGAACUGCGUCUGAUACUGGAUGGCUUGGAUUCGGGAGAGGAAUGCGGAAUUCCAGGUGUAGCGGUGAAAUGCGUAGAUAUCGGGAGGAACAUCAGUGGCGAAGGCGGCUGCCUGGCCCAAUACUGACACUCAGGUGCGACAGCGUGGGGAGCAAACAGG